Oncorhynchus tshawytscha (Chinook salmon) is the source of this 948-nucleotide long non-coding RNA. The record is from Ensembl. NCBI's taxonomy places the organism in Eukaryota, Metazoa, Chordata, Actinopteri, Salmoniformes, Salmonidae.
AUUAUAAAGCAGCAUCCGUGCUUGACAUCCAGCACAACAUAACAGAGUGCUUAUGGGCAUAGGCUCGGGAAGUAAAAAAUAUGAUAUAUAUAAUAAUAAAUAAAUGUAAUACAAAGAAAUAUAUAGUGCACUGGGCCUUUACUAGUUCUGUAUUAGUGGAGUCUGUAGUGCAGGCAAAAAAGAACAAUUCCCACCGCAGUAUUGGAAGAGCUUGUACUACAAAUUCAUCAGUGAGCCUACCUAGAUCUGCCCUUGCUUUAGGUGCACGACGCAGGCGUAGGCCUCACUGCAGGUACAACAGGACGAUAAGGAAGGAGAUCAAGAGAGAAUGCUAAUCCUGGUGUCCAGUAGAUAGAUACAAAAGAGUGACUGUGUCAAGGGGGCCUGGCAUGCAAGGCUUAGAGCCCACCAGAUUACCUGCCGCCCCAGAUCCCCAGCCUCCUGCCCAGGAUGGCUUUCCUCAUGAGGGUUGACUUCCAUAGAGCGGAUCCUGACACAGAUGUUGUGGAGCUGGUGAACGAAUGUGGAAGUACAACCAAACCUACCAGCUUGCCCAGGGUACCACCACUUCCUUCUUACCACCACACGGCUCUAUUUCCAUGUUUACGGCUUGUUUACGGAAGCGUCUUUGAAUGACCGUGUGUAACGGAUGGACGGCAGAAAGUUGUUGAAACUGAGAAGUACUGUUGGCUGCAACUGUGUUAAAGGGAAAUAAAUAAAACAACGUCUACUUCAUAUCUAUCAUCUCCAGCACCACCCCCAACAAUCUCAAUUGCGAUAAUACUUUCAUAUCACAUCAAAUGCAAAAGAAUACAUAUUUCCUGUACAGUGUUUAAAAGAGACAUUUUUUUUUAAAUCCACUGCAUUAUCUCCAGCAUCACCCCAACAUCAACAUGAAGAUUGCACGUUUCUAUGUUUUGUAGUAAAAAAUAUAGAGGAAGAUAACCA